Molecule: unclassified non-coding RNA, 200 nt
Filed under: Melitaea cinxia (Glanville fritillary)
Lineage: Eukaryota; Metazoa; Arthropoda; Insecta; Lepidoptera; Nymphalidae
Description: misc RNA ENSMCXG00005009050.1
Source: RNAcentral
CUUCUCUUGUAACCCACAUAUUGUUCAAUAUACAUCUGUAUCACUGAAAAAUUUAAUGUAUUCAAUUUCUCUGGCAGCGACGUGGUCAAAUUUAUUUUCAUUUGUCAUGCGUGGGCAGCCAUGUUCUGAUCUAGCAGAACAGAGAACCCUGUACUGGAUGAUAUUUGUGAAAUACUUACGAGAGAGAUACUAAGAAUUUU